GACGAACGCUUGCGGCGUGCCUAAGAAAUGCAAGUCGAGCGAGGAUUCACGCUGACCGAAGCUUCGGCAGAGGUCUUGUGAAGCCUAGCGGCGAACGGUCGCGUAACACGUAAGCAACCUGCCCUGAAGUGUGGGAUAGCCCUCCGAAAGGAGGAUUAAUACCGCAUGUGGAUACGAUGUCGCAUGGCAACGUAUCUAAAGCAGCAAUGCGCUUCAGGAUGGGCUUGCGGCCUAUCAGCUAGUUGGUGGGGUAACGGCCUACCAAGGCGACGACGGGUAGCUGGUCUGAGAGGAUGGUCAGCCGGGAUUGGGACUGAGACACGGCCCAGACUCCUACGGGGGGCAGGCAAUUAGGAAUCUUGCGCAAUGGGGGAAACCCUGACGCAGCGACGCCGCGUGAGCGAUGAAGUCUUUCGGGAUGUAAAGCUCUGUCCUGUCGGGGAAGAAGAAUGUGACGGUACCCACAGAGAAAGCCCCGGCUAACUACGUGCC
This 492-nucleotide ribosomal RNA is filed under the name uncultured bacterium. Its description in RNAcentral is "bacterial SSU rRNA". It matches the Rfam family "Bacterial small subunit ribosomal RNA", at positions 28 to 509 of the family's 1533-position model. The record is from RNAcentral.